UAGGGAAUAUUGCAAAAUGGGCGCAAGCCCGAUGCAGCAACGCCGCGUGGGCGAUGAAGGCCUUCGGGUCGUAAAGCCCUUUUUGAGGGGAUGAGGAAGGACAGUACCCUCAGAAUAAGCCUCGGCUAACUACGUGCCAGCAGCCGCGGUAAAACGUAGGAGGCGAGCGUUAUCCGGAUUUACUGGGCGUAAAGCGCGUGCAGGCGGAUUGGAGAGUUGGAUGUAAAAGCUCCCGGCUUAACUGGGAGAGGUCGUUCAAUACUUCCAGUCUUGAGUGCAGUAGAGGGAAGUGGAAUUCCGGGUGUAGUGGUGAAAUGCGUAGAUAUCCGGAGGAACACCAGUGGCGAAAGCGGCUUCCUGGACUGUAACUGACGCUCAGACGCGAAAGCUAGGGUAGCAA
This 400-nucleotide ribosomal RNA is filed under the name uncultured bacterium. RNAcentral's name for it is "bacterial SSU rRNA". It matches the Rfam family "Bacterial small subunit ribosomal RNA", at positions 355 to 771 of the family's 1533-position model. The record is from RNAcentral.